GUUUCGCGUCGGAUAGCCGCGCCGAGGCCGCAAGUUUUACAGCUUAUGGCAUCGGUGAGGAAAGUCCGAACACGCUCCGGGGAAAAUAAAGCUUUUUGGCUUUUUUCACGGGAAGAAUGGUAGCGGGUAACGCCCGUCGUCAGGCCCCGUCUUUGGACAGAGCUUGACAGAGGUGCGAACAGAGACGCUGUGUCCCGAAAGGGAUACGGGCGCUUUGAAAGAAGCGUAGCCAAGCUCUGUCUUUAGAUAGAGUUUGGGUGAAACGGCCAAAUCCUUACCUGCGUGCAAGGCCGUGUCGAGCCCCGGCUUGCCGGGGCUCGGAGUGCCGCUAGAGGUGGCCGGCAACGACCAUCCCAGACAAAUGGCUAUCGUCAAACCCCGGCUUGCCGGGACUUGAUACAGAAUUCGGCUUAUAGACGCGAAACGACA
This 429-nucleotide non-coding RNA is filed under the name Candidatus Campbellbacteria bacterium CG11_big_fil_rev_8_21_14_0_20_44_21. Lineage: Bacteria; Candidatus Campbelliibacteriota. RNAcentral also lists the same sequence under 1 other name. The record is from RNAcentral.